This is a long non-coding RNA of Pogoniulus pusillus (Red-fronted tinkerbird), 1317 nucleotides long. RefSeq lists it as uncharacterized. The record is from RefSeq and is a predicted model, not a curated record. Lineage: Eukaryota; Metazoa; Chordata; Aves; Piciformes; Lybiidae. The transcript is spliced from 2 exons.
CAAAGUGUCAGAAUGGUGUCCUGGAUAACCAGUGUGUGCAGUAUGGUGAAUGUGCCAUCAUUGAAGCUCCAUGGACUUCAGUCUGAAAAUGAAUAAAAUAGAACUAACGAAGCAAACUUUCUUGACAGAUGAGGUCCACAAAUCCAAACUGCUUUGGAUACAAAUAGAGAUGGGCACUGAGAUAUUUUGGUAUGUUAUUGCAAAGCUGAAUUUCUCAUGUGCUUCAUUAGUAGAUAUUUCAGCCUUUUGCCUCAAGCUUUUUCUUUCGAAACUGCACAGAAAUAUUUUGUGUCUGGAAGCCAUAUGCCUGGAAAUGUAUCCCAAGAUAUGCGCUUCCUACUGGUGACUGAUGGAUCUUGUCUGACUGUGUCUGAAAUCUCAGAAUAACACUUCUAUGGGUUUUACUAUUUCAAAGUAAGGGACAUUUCAGGAAUUAUUGCUGGUGACUGCACGAAAAUAAUAGGCAAAGUAUUUGAGGCUGCAAUAAGUCAUUGACUAUUCUACAAAGUAAUGUGGGACUGCUCACAUCUAGACGGGAUGAUGUUACAGCACAUUUUGUUGGGUUGCAUUAUGAUAGCAAUUGUCACAUAAUUUUGACUGUGAGUCUUUAUCUGAGACUCCAGUCCUCCAUCUUCCCUUCAAAAACCCUGUGGAAUAAAAUUGUGAGAUCUGUUUGUAAUGCUGAGAUCUGUUAGCUGUAUGUCUCAUAUGUAAAACAGUUACAAUAUGACAACAGUUUUGUGUAAAUUACUUAAUAUUUGCCCUCUUGUCUGUUAUUCUUGGUCACUGGAAAUCUACACAGUACUUGAUCCAGUUUGCUCAAGCCUAUUUAUUCUGUCAAUAUAUAUAUUUCUAGUAACGAUAGUAAUGAUAAAUGAUGGUUAAAUAUAUGGAACUUAUAUGCUAUUGACAUUUAUGACACCUAUAAAAUGGAUCUUUUCCUUUUCUGAAAGUUAUUGGAAAGGCAAAAUUAUUACAAACAGCCUGAGGCCAAUCUAGUUCUAACUUCUAAGCAUCACUGAGGUAUAUAGGUGCCAUUGGCUUUCACUGAGCAUAAAGGUAAUGUUCCCAAAGGCUACAUUUAUGAAGCCUAGUAUCCCUAGGCUCCACUACAAUAAGUGCAGAAUAGAAAUGCAUCCAAAAAAGAAAUCAGAGAAACAAUGGGCUAUUACUCUCAGAUGCUUUCCAGGGAAAUGCACAGCAAGCACUUACACGAGCUGCAAUGAUGUGUGUUACGUGAAGCUACAUUGCUCUACCCUUAAAACACUGGGAAAAGAGAUAUGGAAAGUAUAACAACAUUAAAACAUAUAAAAGUAA